Molecule: long non-coding RNA, 1083 nt
Organism: Pogonomyrmex barbatus (red harvester ant)
Lineage: Eukaryota; Metazoa; Arthropoda; Insecta; Hymenoptera; Formicidae
Source: RefSeq, a predicted model, not a curated record
UCUUUAUAGCGAUCCCGCGAGCCAACGAGUAAUUGCGCGUGUAUUGAUAAUUAUAUAUGCGAGUGCGAGCUGCAUAACCGUCGUGAGUAAUACUCUUGUUCCCAGUAAACACCGCGACCGUUAUCGCGCUUGUCGUCGGCUUACAAUUAGUUCGAAAAAUCAUUACUCACGAGACUUCUCGAGAAAGAAAGAAAUAUGCGAGAAGAUAAAUAGUGCGACUAACAAUUUCCCUUUGUGAACUGAAAUGCUGAAGAAAUUUUAUAAUCUUAACGAGAAUGGGUCAGAGGAGACGAUAGCUGGCAUGGAGGAUCCUUAUCGCACGCACAUGAUGUAAACGAGAAACCGCACGGCGCAGCGGUGGUGGCGGGUGAACCAGCGCAGCGGAACACGAUAAUUAUCGUGCGUCUCACAACAAGCUUGUGUGUACACGCGGGGCGCCUUACGCACGCAUCGGUAUAUCGCUUGCCAUGCUUGCGCGCUUUCGCGUAAGAAGUCUAUGUUACACGAACCGACGAGAAACUUCGGAACCAGACGAGACUUGCCUGACGAGAUGCUUAACCCUGAGACAUGAGCGUUCGUUACUUUUACAGCCGCGAGGACGUAACAGAUUAUUUCAAAAUAAUUGCGUUCGCGCAAAAUUCAUAUAUCACAGAUAUCACUUAAACAAGAGCCUUCAAGAGAUUUCCAUUUCUAGUAUAUUUCUUUAAAUUGCUUUGAAAUAUAAAAACGUAAAUAGAAGUCGUAAAGCUUUUAUGAGAAUUUCCCUUAAAAAUAUACUUGUGAACAUUUGCGUUUUAAAAUUAAAAUUGAUAACAAAGAUAAAAUAUGUUUAACAAAGAUAAAAAUUAUGUCUUUGUAACGCCAUAUUUCAACAUUCGGAAAAGUUAUAAUUUUCUUACCGUUAUGUUAAUAAACGUAAUAAUUGGAUGAAAUAUUAUUCUCUUAUUAUAUACAAUCAAACUUUGUGAUCGGUUACGUCAAGGCUGUGAAUUUAUGUAAUCAUGUCGUUUUCUAAGAAUAGCUGGAAUCAUGUAAUUCAAAUAUUUUUUUUCAUCAUCCCGAAUAAAGUAUAAGCUACGAACA